ACAUGACCAGAGCCAUUAUAACACUGCUUCACUUACUCUACUGGAUCCAAGGUGUUGUGAGAGCAAAUGAUGUCAUUCAGCCCAAUAUAAUCUGGGCAAAUAUGGGUCAAUUAGCCACGAUCGACUGCAGACACACUAAGGAUGCAUUUCAUAAUCAGAUGUACUGGUUCCGCCAGCAUCAAGGAGAGUCUAUGAAGCUUAUUGCCUUCACAGCCACUUUUAACACACAGCCAGAGUUUGGAGAAGGUUUUGAUGACAAGAAAUUUACUGCCAAUAAAACAGUUGCCGAGAGUGGAUCAUUAACAGUGAAAGAUCUGGAUUCUACUGACAGUGCUGUAUAUUUCUGUGCAGUGAGCAAACACAGUGUUAGAAACUCAGAGAGAGGCUGUACAAAAACAGUAAAGUGCAACUAGUCUGUA
Molecule: non-coding RNA, 419 nt
Organism: Colossoma macropomum (tambaqui)
Lineage: Eukaryota; Metazoa; Chordata; Actinopteri; Characiformes; Serrasalmidae
Source: the annotation of a RefSeq genome assembly